Molecule: transfer RNA, 70 nt
Filed under: Camelus bactrianus (Bactrian camel)
Lineage: Eukaryota; Metazoa; Chordata; Mammalia; Artiodactyla; Camelidae
Also listed under: 1 other name
Rfam family: tRNA
About the family: Transfer RNA (tRNA) molecules are approximately 80 nucleotides in length. Their secondary structure includes four short double-helical elements and three loops (D, anti-codon, and T loops).
Source: Rfam by way of RNAcentral
GAAGAUAUAGCUCAGUGGUAGAGUGUGCCUACCAUGCACAAGGUCCUGGGUUCAAGCCCCAGUACCUCCA